UUCAUUAGUGCCCUUCACACCAACAAUUGAAGAUCGACCAGAUCAGACUUGCACGUGUUGCUGCUGUCUUAUCAUCGACUGAAAAGACCACCAUGCAAAGUCCAGCGUGCGCGGCCACUCUGGGUGGUUCCCACAGGGUUCCAGAGAAUGCGCCCAAAGAGGGAGGAAGUCCCAAGACCGCAAUGCGGCCGGCAGACACUCGGGCUUCCUCUUCUGCA
This is a long non-coding RNA of Hippocampus comes (tiger tail seahorse), 218 nucleotides long. RefSeq lists it as uncharacterized. NCBI's taxonomy places the organism in Eukaryota, Metazoa, Chordata, Actinopteri, Syngnathiformes, Syngnathidae. The record is from RefSeq and is a predicted model, not a curated record. The transcript has 3 exons.